RNAcentral lists this ribosomal RNA (301 nucleotides) under uncultured bacterium. RNAcentral's name for it is "partial 16S ribosomal RNA". It matches the Rfam family "Bacterial small subunit ribosomal RNA", at positions 509 to 807 of the family's 1533-position model. The record is from RNAcentral.
CAGCAGCCGCGGUAAUACAGAGGGUGCAAGCGUUAAUCGGAAUUACUGGGCGUAAAGCGCGCGUAGGUGGUUCGCCAAGUUGGAUGUGAAAUCCCCGGGCUCAACCUGGGAACUGCAUCCAAAACUGGCGAGCUAGAGUAUGGUAGAGGGUGGUGGAAUUUCCUGUGUAGCGGUGAAAUGCGUAGAUAUAGGAAGGAACAUCAGUGGCGAAGGCGACCACCUGGACUGAUACUGACACUGAGGUGCGAAAGCGUGGGGAGCAAACAGGAUUAGAUACCCGGGUAGUCCCUGUCUCUUAUAC